AUUGAACGCUGGCGGCAGGCUUAACACAUGCAAGUCGAGCGGAGAUGAGGUGCUUGCACCUUAUCUUAGCGGCGGACGGGUGAGUAAUGCUUAGGAAUCUGCCUAUUAGUGGGGGACAACAUUCCGAAAGGAAUGCUAAUACCGCAUACGUCCUACGGGAGAAAGCAGGGGAUCUUCGGACCUUGCGCUAAUAGAUGAGCCUAAGUCGGAUUAGCUAGUUGGUGGGGUAAAGGCCUACCAAGGCGACUAUCUGUAGCGGGUCUGAGAGGAUGAUCCGCCACACUGGGACUGAGACACGGCCCACACUCCUACGGGAGGCAGCAGUGGGGAAUACUGGACAAUGGGGGAAACCCUGAUCCAGCCAUGCCGCGUGUGUGAAGAAGGUCUUAUGGUUGUAAAGCACUUUAAGCGAGGAGGAGGCUACUGAGACUAAUGCUCUUGGAUAGUGGACGUUACUCGCAGAAUAAGCACCGGCUAACUCUGUGCCAGCAGCCGCUGUAAUACAGAGGGUGCGAGCGUUAAUCUGAUUUACUGGGCGUAAAGCGUGCGUA
This 551-nucleotide ribosomal RNA is filed under the name uncultured bacterium. RNAcentral describes it as "bacterial SSU rRNA". It matches the Rfam family "Bacterial small subunit ribosomal RNA", at positions 28 to 573 of the family's 1533-position model. The record is from RNAcentral.